This 483-nucleotide ribosomal RNA is filed under the name uncultured bacterium. RNAcentral describes it as "partial 16S ribosomal RNA". It matches the Rfam family "Bacterial small subunit ribosomal RNA", at positions 30 to 507 of the family's 1533-position model. The record is from RNAcentral.
AUUGAACGCUGGCGGCAGGCCUAACACAUGCAAGUCGAGCGGAUGAAGGUAGCUUGCUUCUGGAUUCAGCGGCGGACGCGUGAGUAAUGCCUAGGAAUCUGCCUACUAGUGGGGGAUAACGUCCGGAAUCCGGCGCUAAUACCGCAUCCGUCCUGAGGGACAGAGCGGGGGGUCUUCGGACCCUACGCUAUCAGAUGAUCCUAGGUCGGAUUAGCUAGUCGGUGGGGUGUAGGCGUACCAAGGGGACGAUCCGUCACUCGUAUGGGGGGAUGAACAGUCACAUUGGAGCGGAGAAACGGUCAAAACGCCAACGGGAGGCAGCAGUGGGGAAUAUGGGACAAUGGGGGAAAGCCUGAUCCAGCAAUGCCGAGUGUGUGAAGAAGGUCUGCGGAUUGGAAAGCACUUUAAGUUGGGAGGAAGGGCAGUAAGUUAAUACCAUGCUGUUUGAAGGUUACCAACAGAAUAGCCACGGCCAACCUUGGU